RNAcentral lists this ribosomal RNA (497 nucleotides) under uncultured bacterium. RNAcentral describes it as "partial 16S ribosomal RNA". It matches the Rfam family "Bacterial small subunit ribosomal RNA", at positions 28 to 507 of the family's 1533-position model. The record is from RNAcentral.
GACGAACGCUGGCGGCGUGCCUAAUACAUGCAAGUCGAGCGCUGAAGGGUGGUACUUGUACCAAUUGGAUUAGCAGCGAACGGGUGAGUAACGCGUGGGUAAUCUGCCUUUGAGCGGGGGACAACAUCGGGAAACGAAUGCUAAUACCGCAUAAUAUCUUUAAACACAAGGUUUAAGAUUGAAAGAUGCAAUUGCAGCACCCAAUGAUGAUACCGCGUCGUAUUUGCUAGUUGGUUAGGUAAAGGCCCUCCAAGGCGAAGAAACAUAAGCGACCUGAGAGGGUGGUCGGCCCACAUGGGAAUGGGACACGGGCCCAGCCCCUUACGGGAGCCGCCGUAGGGGAACCUUCGCCAUGGGCGGAAAUCUGACCGGGCAACGCCGGGGUGGUGGAUGAGGUUCUCCGGUCCUUAAACUCUGUUGAUAGGGAAGAACGAUAGUUGGAAGGGAAAACGCACCACGUGACGGUAACUACCCAGAAAGCGACGGCUAACUACGUG